UGUGGGGAUGUGGGGAUAUGGAGACAUGGGGAUGUGAGGACAUGGAGACGUGGGGAUGUGGGGACGUGGGAACAUGGAGAUGUGGGGAUGUGGGGACAUGGAGACAUGGGGAUGUGGGGACUUGGGGACAUGGGGAUGUGGGGAUCUGGAGAUGUGGGGACAUGGGGACAUGGAGAUGUGGGGACAUGGGGAUGUGGGGAUGUGGGGACAUGGGGACAUGGGGAUGUGGGGACAUGGAAAUGUGGGGACAUGGAGAUGUGGAGAUGUGGGGACAUGGGGACGUGGAGAUGUGGGAACAUGGAGAUGUGGGGAUUUGCGGACGUGGGGAUGUUGAGAUGUGGGGACAUGAGGACGUGGAGAUGUGGGAAUGUGGGGACAUGGAGAUAUGGGGAUAUGGAGAUGUGGGAAUGUUGUGAUGUGGCGACAUGGGGAUGCGUCCCCUCUGGCCACUCACCCAUAGGUUUCUGUCCAAAGCAGCACAGUGUGGACCUGGCAGUGCGAGGGCAGCGCAGCAGACCCACAUCUGCAGCGCCCAGCGGCAGCCCUGCGUCCCUGCAUGGAGCAGCUGCAGUUCCCCAGGGCCGGCAGCAGGACGAGGGCAGCCCGCAGCUCCACACCAGGGAUUUCUUCCACUCCCAGCGCACCCUGACGCUUCCCCAGAGGAAAGGAACUCGGGACAGCUUGGAUCUCCUCACCGGGAAGAGAGCCGCCUCCAGGCUGGAGAAAAGCAGGCUGAAGGCCGGCUCCGAGCUGACCCUGCUGCCCCACGGCAAGUCACCCACGGCCAGCUGCGAGGUGUGGGACUGCAGCCACCACCAGGGCUCUUUCCUUUCGCCCCUCCUGAAGCGCGCUGCGUCCGCCAGGAGCGCCUGGAAGCGUCCCGCAUCCAUGGGCAGCACGGAGAGAGGGAAGGUGCUGCAGAAGAGAAAGGAGUGGGAGAUGAAGGCAGCGAUGUGAGCGGAGUGAUGCUGCGCCGCGCGGGGACCGAGCCGGGCUGCGGUGCUGGAGAGCUGCUAUGGGGCCGUGCUGGGGGGGCACACCGGCACCCCAAACCUUCUGUGGGGUCACAUCGGCACCCCAAACCUUCUGUGGGGUCACACCGGCACCCCAAACCUUCUGUGGGGUCACUGCUUCUCUGUGUUUUCGGUGUGGGUUUCCCAGUGGGGCGGAGAUGGUGGAAAUGGUCCCAAUGGUGCCCAGCUGUGCCCAACGGACCCCAAUAGAACCCAAUGGACCCCAGUGGUGCCCAGUAGAACCCAGUGGUGCCCAACAGACCCCCAAUGGUGCCCAACAGACCCCCAAUGGUGCCCAACAGAACCCAAUGGUGCCCAGCGGAUCCCAGUGGUGCCCAACGGACCCCAGUAGAACCCAAUGGACCCCAAUCGUGCCCAAUAGACUCCAGUGGUGCCCAAUGGAUCCCAAUGGUGCCCAACGGACCCCAAUGGUGCCCAGUAGAACCCAAUGGUGCCCAACGGACCCCAAUAGAACCCAACGGACCCCAGUGGUGCCCAAUAGAACCCAGUGGUGCCCAAU
RNAcentral lists this long non-coding RNA (1533 nucleotides) under Phasianus colchicus (ring-necked pheasant). RNAcentral describes it as "lncRNA (ENSPCLG00000019093.1)". Lineage: Eukaryota; Metazoa; Chordata; Aves; Galliformes; Phasianidae. The record is from RNAcentral.